AUCUAAGUACCCCGAGGAAAAGAAAUCAACCGAGAUUCCCCCAGUAGCGGCGAGCGAACGGGGAGCAGCCCAGAGUCUGAAUCAGCUUGUGUGUUAGUGGAACGGUCUGGAAAGUCCGACGGUACAGGGUGAUAGUCCCGUACACCAAAAUGCACAGGUUGUGAACUCGAAGAGUAGGGCGGGACACGUGGUAUCCUGUCUGAAUAUGGGGGGACCAUCCUCCAAGGCUAAAUACUCCUGACUGACCGAUAGUGAACCAGUACCGUGAGGGAAAGGCGAAAAGAACCCCGGCGAGGGGAGUGAAAAAGAACCUGAAACCGUGUACGUACAAGCAGUGGGAGCACCUUC
This 348-nucleotide ribosomal RNA is filed under the name Klebsiella variicola. Its description in RNAcentral is "partial 23S ribosomal RNA". It matches the Rfam family "Bacterial large subunit ribosomal RNA", at positions 200 to 586 of the family's 2925-position model. Lineage: Bacteria; Pseudomonadati; Pseudomonadota; Gammaproteobacteria; Enterobacterales; Enterobacteriaceae. The record is from RNAcentral.